This 73-nucleotide transfer RNA is filed under the name Candidatus Woesearchaeota archaeon. Its description in RNAcentral is "tRNA-Pro". It matches the Rfam family "tRNA". Rfam says of the family: Transfer RNA (tRNA) molecules are approximately 80 nucleotides in length. The record is from RNAcentral. Lineage: Archaea; Nanobdellati; Candidatus Woesearchaeota.
GGGGCCAUGGGGUAGUUUGGUAUCCUCUCUGGUUUGGGACCGGGUGACCGCAGUUCAAAUCUGCGUGGCCCCA